GAUGAACGCUGGCGGCGUGCCUAAUACAUGCAAGUCGAGCGAACGGACGAGAAGCUUGCUUCGCUGAUGUUAGCGGCGGACGGGUGAGUAACACGUGGAUAACCUACCUAUAAGACUGGGAUAACUUCGGGAAACCGGAGCUAAUACCGGAUAAUAUUUUGAACCGCAUGGUUCAAAAGUGAAAGACGGUCUUGCUGUCACUUAUAGAUGGAUCCGCGCUGCAUUAGCUAGUUGGUAAGGUAACGGCUUACCAAGGCAACGAUGCAUAGCCGACCUGAGAGGGUGAUCGGCCACACUGGAACUGAGACACGGUCCAGCCUCCUACGGGAGACAGCAGUAGGGUAUCUUCCGCAAUGGGCGAAAGCCUGACGGAGCAACGCCGCGUGAGUGAUGAAGGUCUUCGGAUCGUAAAACUCUGUUAUUAGGGAAGAACAUAUGUGUAAGUAACUGUGCACAUCUUGACGGUACCUAAUCAGAAAGCCACGGCUAACUACGUG
Molecule: ribosomal RNA, 497 nt
Filed under: uncultured bacterium
Lineage: Bacteria
Description: partial 16S ribosomal RNA
Rfam family: Bacterial small subunit ribosomal RNA
Source: RNAcentral